CAGCCGCCGCGGGAAUACGGAGGGUGCAAGCGUUAAUCGGAAUUACUGGGCGUAAAGCGCACGCAGGCGGUUUGUUAAGUCAGAUGUGAAAUCCCCGAGCUUAACUUGGGAACUGCAUUUGAAACUGGCAAGCUAGAGUCUUGUAGAGGGGGGUAGAAUUCCAGGUGUAGCGGUGAAAUGCGUAGAGAUCUGGAGGAAUACCGGUGGCGAAGGCGGCCCCCUGGACAAAGACUGACGCUCAGGUGCGAAAGCGUGGGGAGCAAACAGGAUUAGAUACCCCCGUAGUCCUUGUCUCUUAUAC
RNAcentral lists this ribosomal RNA (301 nucleotides) under uncultured bacterium. RNAcentral's name for it is "partial 16S ribosomal RNA". It matches the Rfam family "Bacterial small subunit ribosomal RNA", at positions 509 to 807 of the family's 1533-position model. The record is from RNAcentral.